GGUUCUGGGUUCGUCUGUCUAUGCGCGCUUGGCUCUUUCGUCCAUGUUUUGAGCAUUUUGUUUCGGAGAUUUUGAUAAUUUGUGCCGAGUAACCGCCUUUGGAUUGAAUGGAGUCUGGGUCUGUCGUUUGAAACGGGUCAGAGUGUUUUGGAAAGAUGGUUAUUCGUAUGUUUAUUCGAAUGCUGAGUGCUGCUUGGGAUCUCUUUUGCAUACCAAGAAUGCUCCCGUUUUGUAAAGUAACCCACAAUACAAAUUCUUGGAUUCUUUUCUACUGGGUAUCCUGAGCAUCGUAUGGAUUAGCAUCAUUCUUGGCUGUGACGAUAACAUGAUUAAUUGAAGUGUAUCCAUAUGAUUAUUCGAAUGCUGAGUGCUGCUCGGGAUCUCUCUUGCAUACCAAGAAUGUUCCCGUUUUGUAAAGUAAACCACAAUACAAAUUCUUGGAUUCUUUUCUACUGGGUAUCCUGAGCAUCGUAUGGAUUAGCAUCAUUCUUGGCUAUGACGAUACCAUGAUUAAUUGAAGUGAUGCUAUGUGUUACCCCUUUCUCGACUUCCAGGGAUAUGGCACGGUAAAGCAUGGACAUGUGGUUGUAGCUUUCUCUACUCCCAUCUCAUGUGGCUGUGGACAUUUGGAUUCGUAUUCCUUUAGCCAGCAAGUCCAUGCACUGCCUUAUGCCUUAAAGUAUCAGAUUGGUUGCUGCUCUUUUGUUUCGGGAGAUACCUGUGAAUGUAAUGGGUUGAAUCAGAAAUGGGGUUUGAGUUUUGAUUCAGCACAUUGCAACAGAUUCCAGUGCGUUGAGUGGUGUGUGUUGGAGGUGGAUUCUUUGUGAAUUACGUUUUAAUAGGAGAAUCCAUUGAGGUAACGCAGAUAUCCAGGCACGGGUGAAUACGACAAGUAUUUUGAAGAGGGGGUGUACAAUUGUGUAGGAUGCGGGACUCCUCUUUACCAGUCUACAACUAAAUUUAACUCUGGCUGUGGCUGGCCUGCUUUCUAUGAGGGCCUCCCCGGAGCUAUAACCAGCACUGGGGAUUGAGAUGGGAUGAGGACGGAAAUCAUUUGCACUGCAUGUGGCGGCCAUCUGGGUCACGUGUUCAAGGGCGAAGGGUUCCCGACACCAACUGAUGAGCGGCAUUGCGUCAAUAGUAUUUCACUCAAGUUUGUUCUUUCCAACUCUUAUCCUUCCCAGUGAACUUCUGCAGCUAGACUGGUCGGUCGUCACCGGAUGCAGCCUUCAACUGCUGCUGUUAUCUGAGAUUGUUUGCUUCUGAUUUCCGCGCUAUGUACAAUAAGCUCUUCUCAUAAAUCUUUCCGAUCUGGAUUGAACUCAGAUAUUUAUUGCCGUCUCUCGAGUAAAUAAAAAUCGGAAUCUUUUUUUUUUGUUAUCCA
Eucalyptus grandis is the source of this 1384-nucleotide long non-coding RNA. RefSeq lists it as uncharacterized. The transcript has 3 exons. The record is from RefSeq and is a predicted model, not a curated record. Lineage: Eukaryota; Viridiplantae; Streptophyta; Magnoliopsida; Myrtales; Myrtaceae.